Eurytemora carolleeae is the source of this 1596-nucleotide long non-coding RNA. RefSeq lists it as uncharacterized. The transcript is spliced from 2 exons. The record is from RefSeq and is a predicted model, not a curated record. NCBI's taxonomy places the organism in Eukaryota, Metazoa, Arthropoda, Copepoda, Calanoida, Temoridae.
AGUUAUUUAUCUAGACUUAUUUAAUCAUUUCGUUGAAAUCUCUUAUUCUACAGAAAAGACAGUAUAGUAUAGUUAAUGCCUAUACAAGUUGACGUGUCGUACUUUUGCGAUAGUAUUAAGUAUGUAAAAAGGUCUCUUGAAAAAUUACUUUUUUCCAUUUUGACCUUGUGUGUGUAUUAAGUACAAAAUACACAAUUGUAAACCUCAGGCUGAAGUUAAAGAAGAUUUUCAGAAUUUUUUUAAUUUUUAAAUAUAAAAAUUGCCUUACGUAAUCAAAUGUUCAACAGGCCCAACCGUCUUAGACCGGUUUUAGGUUUUUCUACAGUGGUAGGCGAUUAUAUAUCAAUACAAUGAAAACUACUUUCGAUUUUAAUUUUGAUUUAUAUCAAGCUGUUCAACAACAUGGAUACACAAACACAGAGGUCAACAGAAGCUCUCAAUUAAAAAAGCUUCUCUUUAAUUACUUAUAAACUUUUAAUUUGAAAAAAAGCUUGUUAUUAAUCAAACUUAGAUAAAAAGUCUCUUUUUUGUAUUAAUAUAAUCGCCUACCACUGUAACAUAACUUACAAAUUGUCAUCCAAAUACGUAAACUUGAAUUGAAAAUUAGAAAAAACGAAGAACCUUAACACUAGUUUAUACUCUGCAUAAAUACAUGUGUAUGAUCAGAGAAAGAGCUACUUUAGUCUCAUGUUAAUUAGUUAACCCUGUAUUCUCUAUUCUUCUGCAUAUACAGAGUGUCCCACGAAACUUGACAGUAGAAGAAAGACUUAAAGGUCGUCUUUGGUCUUUGAAAUAAUUAGGCUGGUCAUUGGUCAAACUACUUUUAAAUGUAUGAUUCGUGAAACAAUUAUGAAAAAAUCUGCUAGUUAUGAAUUUUCAAAAUGUGAUCCGACUUUUUUUGUGCUGUCAAUAUAACCGGAAAUACUAAGAAUUGUGUUCAGAUUUCAAUUUAUUAAUUCAAAUCAAAAUUAUCAAAAAUCUGAAAUUCUUCAUUUCUCCGUUAAUAUUGAAAGCACAAAAAGGCGGAACACAUUUUGGAAAUGACAGGGCUUUAGGAUUAUUUUGUGAUUAUUUACUCCAAAAUUAUACUUAUAAAAUUAGGUUUACAAAUGCUGCAAAUUAUUCUAAGACCAAAGACGACCUUUAAGUCGUCUGUCUACUAGCAUCUUUAGUGGGACCCCAUGUGUAUUAAUGUUUAACUCUUAAUAACAAUGCACACUCGAAACUCUCUCUUACAAUUGUUAUGUUGGAUUUUUAAAGUUAUAUUUUUCGCAACGCCCCAAUGCAUAUAUCAACGUAAAAUGACAAAAUGUUUAUAGUGGCCUCAUAAUUCCCUUAUUGUUGGAAUUUCAAAUUAUAAUCAAUUUUUCUUGAUUUUUUUGUUUCUUUUGUUGUCUUUUAAUCUAAUAAAAUACGUAUACUUAAAGAUGGGCACAAAACAAUUCCAAUCUGUUCAUAUACUCCAGUUAAGUUGUAAACAAUAUUAUAUCUAACCCGUAUGACCUUAUGCUCUUGUAAUGCAAGUUAUAAAAAUAAGAAGUAUCGUUCUCUAUAAACUUGUUAUUAAUGCUUAUGAAUAAAAAUGUUUGUAUAGUU